AACACAUGCAAGUCGAACGGAAAGGCCCUGCUUGCAGGGUACUCGAGUGGCGAACGGGUGAGUAACACGUGGGUGAUCCGCCCUGCACUUCGGGAUAAGCCUGGGAAACUGGGUCUAAUACCGGAUAGGAGCCAUUUUUAGUGUGAUGGUUGGAAAGUUUUUUCGGUGUAGGAUGAGCUCGCGGCCUAUCAGCUUGUUGGUGGGGUAAUGGCCUACCAAGGCGGCGACGGGUAGCCGGCCUGAGAGGGUGGACGGCCACAUUGGGACUGAGAUACGGCCCAGACUCCUACGGGAGGCAGCAGUGGGGAAUAUUGCACAAUGGGCGCAAGCCUGAUGCAGCGACGCCGCGUGGGGGAUGACGGCCUUCGGGUUGUAAACUCCUUUCGCUAGGGACGAAGCUUUUUGUGACGGUACCUAGAUAAGAAGCACCGGCUAACUACGUGCCAGCAGCCGCGGUAAUACGUAGGGUGCGAGCGUUGUCCGGAAUUACUGGGCGUAAAGGGCUCGUAGGUGGUUUGUCGCGUCGUCUGUGAAAUUCCGGGGCUUAACUCCGGGCGUGCGGGCGAUACGGGCAUAACUUGAGUACUGUAGGGGUAACUGGAAUUCCUGGUGUAGCAGUGAAAUGCGCAGAUAUCAGGAGGAACACCGAUGGUGAAGGCAGGUUACUGGGCAGUUACUGACGCUGCGGAGCGAA
Molecule: ribosomal RNA, 694 nt
Filed under: uncultured Actinomycetales bacterium
Lineage: Bacteria; Bacillati; Actinomycetota; Actinomycetes; Actinomycetales
Description: bacterial SSU rRNA
Rfam family: Bacterial small subunit ribosomal RNA
Source: RNAcentral